Molecule: ribosomal RNA, 161 nt
Organism: Anopheles marshallii
Lineage: Eukaryota; Metazoa; Arthropoda; Insecta; Diptera; Culicidae
Product: 5.8S ribosomal RNA
Exons: 1
Source: RefSeq, a predicted model, not a curated record
AACCCUAGGCAGGGGAUCACUCGGCUCAUGGAUCGAUGAAGACCGCAGCUAAAUGCGCGUCAGAAUGUGAACUGCAGGGACAACAAUGAACACCGACACGUUGAACGCAUAUGGCGCAUCGGACGUUUAAACCCGACCGAUGCACACAUUCUUGAGUGCCU